This 322-nucleotide unclassified non-coding RNA is filed under the name uncultured fungus. Its description in RNAcentral is "sequence contains 5.8S rRNA gene". The stretch from base 1 to 53 matches the Rfam family "5.8S ribosomal RNA", at positions 102 to 154 of the family's 154-position model. The record is from RNAcentral. Lineage: Eukaryota; Fungi.
GAACGCACCUUGCGCUCCUUGGUAUUCCGAGGAGCAUGCCUGUUUGAGUGUCAUUAAAUUCUCAACUCUACCAGUUUUUGCUGUGUAGAGCUUGGAUAUGGAGGUUGUGCAGAAUGCUCACGCGUACUGCUCCUCUUAAAUGGAUUAGCGAGUUCACUGGACUCCGUCUAUUGGUGUGAUAACUAUCUACGCUUGUGGUCUCCCCACCGGGUAACCUUCAGCAAUGGAGGUUCGCUGGGGCUCAUAAACGUCUCUCCUCUGUGAGAGACAGCUUUUUGAACGUUUGAUCUCAAAUCAGGUAGGACUACCCGCUGAACUUAAG